GGGGCGGUGGUCUAGUGGUUAUGUCGCUCUGCCUUGUAGGCAGAGAGGUCGGUGGUUCGAAUCCAUCCCGCUCCA
This 75-nucleotide transfer RNA is filed under the name Colletotrichum orbiculare MAFF 240422. Its description in RNAcentral is "tRNA-Thr (TGT) (tRNA-Thr-TGT-6-1)". It matches the Rfam family "tRNA". Rfam says of the family: Transfer RNA (tRNA) molecules are approximately 80 nucleotides in length. Their secondary structure includes four short double-helical elements and three loops (D, anti-codon, and T loops). Further hydrogen bonds mediate the characteristic L-shaped molecular structure. tRNAs have two regions of fundamental functional importance: the anti-codon, which is responsible for specific mRNA codon recognition, and the 3' end, to which the tRNAs corresponding amino acid is attached (by aminoacyl-tRNA synthetases). tRNAs cope with the degeneracy of the genetic code in two manners: having more than one tRNA (with a specific anti-codon) for a particular amino acid; and 'wobble' base-pairing, i.e. permitting non-standard base-pairing at the 3rd anti-codon position. Lineage: Eukaryota; Fungi; Ascomycota; Sordariomycetes; Glomerellales; Glomerellaceae. The record is from RNAcentral.